CCUACGGGAGGCAGCAGUGAGGAAUAUUGGUCAAUGGACGAGAGUCUGAACCAGCCAAGUAGCGUGAAGGAUGACUGCCCUAUGGGUUGUAAACUUCUUUUAUAUGGGAAUAAAAUGUUCCACGUGUGGGAUUUUGUAUGUACCAUAUGAAUAAGGAUCGGCUAACUCCGUGCCAGCAGCCGCGGUAAUACGGAGGAUCCGAGCGUUAUCCGGAUUUAUUUGGUUUAAAGGGAGCGUAGGGGGAUUGUUAAGUCAGUUGUGAAAGUUUGCGGCUCAAACGUAAAAUUGCAGUUGAAACUGGCAGUCUUGAGUACAGUAGAGGUGAGCGGAAGUCGAGGUGUAGCGGUGAAAUGCGUAGAUAUCACGAAGAACUCCGAUUGCGAAGGCAGCUCACUGGACUGCAACUGACACUGAGGCUCGAAAGUGUGGGUAUCAAACAGGAUUAGAUACCCCAGUAGUC
This 460-nucleotide ribosomal RNA is filed under the name uncultured bacterium. RNAcentral's name for it is "partial 16S ribosomal RNA". It matches the Rfam family "Bacterial small subunit ribosomal RNA", at positions 338 to 795 of the family's 1533-position model. The record is from RNAcentral.